Molecule: ribosomal RNA, 437 nt
Filed under: uncultured bacterium
Lineage: Bacteria
Description: bacterial SSU rRNA
Rfam family: Bacterial small subunit ribosomal RNA
Source: RNAcentral
AACGCGAAGAACCUUACCUGGGCUUGACAUGUUCGUGACCGGGGUGGAAACACGUCUUCCCUUACGGGCACGAUCACAGGUGGUACAUGGCUGUUGUCAGCUCGUGUUGUGAGAUGUUGGGUUAAGUCCCGCAAAGAGCGCCCCCCCCCUCGUAUGUUGCCAGCAUUAAGUUGGGGACUCAUGGGAGACUGCCGGGGGCAAACCGGAGGAAGGUGGGGAUGACGUCAAGUCAUCAUGCCCCUUAUGUCCAGGGCUACACACGUGCUACAUUGGCGUAUACAGAGGGUUGCGAUACCGCGAGGUGGAGCGAAUCUCACAAAGCUACGUCUCAGUUCGGAUUGCAGUGCUGCAACUCGACCUCCAUGAAGUGUGGAGUUGCUAGUAAUCGCAGAUCAGCAACCCCGCGGUGAAAACCUUCCCGGGUCUUGUACACACCG